AUGUUAUAUAGUGUUUAGUUUAGGGCUGCACAAUAAAUACAAUUUUCAUCAUCAUCAUGAUAUUAACAUGUGCGAUAAACACAUUGAGCAAGCAAUAGUGGUACAAAAGUGUACAAGGUGUGCUUUUGUGUUGACAUUGAUUUCUCCAUCAAUUAUUACUAAUGACAAAAAACAGCAUAAUUGCUCCUGGACACUGAAGGGUUUUGAGGCAGCAACUAGAUGCUAGCGAUAGCUAGCUUAUCUGGCCGUCUCUAGCGGUGGAUAUCUAGCUAACACAGGCUAACUGAACUGUAGGCUUCUAGCAAUUUGAAAAGAAAGGCUACAUAACAUCGUUUUUUAAACACGUCACAAGUAGCAUUCUUCGGGUACAUGAUUUUUUUUUUUUUUUUUUUUUUUUUUUUUGCCAGCUGUGUAGUGUAGGCUAGCUAGCUAAACUUUGGUUAUUAGCUGUGUUUUUUUUUAACCUGUGUUUUUGGUUGUUUGACACAGUUCCACAAUUUUUCUGCCUAAUAUGUAAGGCGUAAUUUCCCUCGUCAUAAAGCGUCAAAAAACAAGUGGCUAUGUGGUGUUGGUUUUAUGGAAAGAUUUGCCAUUAAUAGCCUAUAUCGAAACAUUUUAUCCAUUUAAUGCAGUCUGCUGUUUUCCAUAACUGUAAGUUGCUACAGUUGUUAUUUUAAAACGUUUUGCCUACAACAGUAAUUUCCUAUUAUGCUAUGUAAUGUCAGAGAGUUACAUAGUUGAUUUAUAAUGAUGUAAAUAAAUGUAGUGGUGUGUUAUAUUGUGUGUUAAAUGUUUUUGCAAUAUUUUAAACUGGCAGAUGCACUCAGGAAAUAUUUGUUGACUCAGACACUUUCACCUGCUGGACAGAGCACUCCUGAUGCCCCAGAUGCAGCAUUCAGAUCUAGCACUCCAGGCACCAGUGCCACACAGACGAGAGAACCAGAGCCCGCAGCAAGUGAGACAUGUAAGUAUAAGUACAGGUAAAAAGCACUUUUGUUUGCACUUUGUAUGGGGUUCAACCAUUCAUUGAUUCAUAUUUGUUUAUUUAAGAAUGUUGUGUAAUUAAGACAUAUUUUCACAGUUUGUGUUAUCCAACAUUAUGUAAACAUAAUUUGUCAUCAAUAAAAUUUUAAACCAUU
Long non-coding RNA from Acanthopagrus latus (yellowfin seabream), 1139 nucleotides. RefSeq lists it as uncharacterized. The record is from RefSeq and is a predicted model, not a curated record. NCBI's taxonomy places the organism in Eukaryota, Metazoa, Chordata, Actinopteri, Spariformes, Sparidae. The transcript is spliced from 2 exons.